RNAcentral lists this long non-coding RNA (1208 nucleotides) under Nicotiana benthamiana. RNAcentral describes it as "long non-coding RNA (NBEN_LNC034038)". The record is from RNAcentral. Lineage: Eukaryota; Viridiplantae; Streptophyta; Magnoliopsida; Solanales; Solanaceae.
CUACUUCCUAUCGUCAAUAGCAACCUUAGGACCUGGUGUCACCACUGGGAUAAAUGUUUAAGAACCAGCAUCGAGCAUGGGCUGGGACAUCCCGUAUACCAUAUUUGCACUAUGGCACCUCAUCCGUAUCAGGGUCAAAGUGCUCCUCUUCCUCCUCCACUAGGGUGGGCACUCGUCUCCCACUACGACGGCUACUAGAUGCAACUUCAGAAGAACCAGUGUUAGAGCGUUUUCUCAGGCGGCGAUACAUUGUACCUUCACAAGACAAACAAUAUUAGCCAUAACACGUAAAUCAAAACAAGACCAAAUAGAGUAAUCACCCCACACUUAUGGUAGUGGAAUGUUCACAGGUAAAAUAUAUAGCAGGGUCGCAGACUACCCCAUUAGAAAUGUUCCACAAGCAAUCAACAACCCACCCAACCACCCUCAUAAUGGUACAAUCACAAAACCACUGAUUAUUCUGGCUUAAACUACAAAAUUAAGAAGCUAAUCUAGUAACUAAGAAUAUAAAGAAAAGAAGUUAUGCUAAUGCACUACUAAAAAACUUCAGAAAUUUCAACACAACACUACACAAGCACAAAGCAUGAAUUGAAUAUUCCAUAAGCACCUAGCACCACUUUAUCUCAUAGUAAUUAUUCCCCGCUAAGCUACAAUGUCACUUUAUAUGUCAUUGAGGCAUUUAAUAAAGCACGUGGCAUUCACCAAAGUCACCUCAUAAUUUCAACUUUAAUUCUUCCAAGAUUACUGCACAACCAUACAAAUAAACCAUCCUACCACCACCGCAAUGUAACAAGGGCACAAAGUGCUUCAAAUUUGCACAGAUGUUCCCCUAAUUUUCGUUCUUUGAGGAACCUCCACCCAACUUCACCAUUAAAAUUUUCUAUUAGCAUCAAGACAUACUAAACAUCUACCACAAUUAUAACUAAAAUGGAAACCUCACAAGUUAAGCACCAUUCAUGGCUAAAAUAAGCAAAGAAAUUGAAAAACAAUUAGCAACACUACACAACCUAGGGUUUAGUUCAGAAUAAACUAUAAUACUCAACUACAAUAAAUUACUCAAAGAAAAUAGAGGAGAGUAGAGAAACACUUACCUUAAGGAUGAAUGGAAGGGAUGUGGGUGUGUGUGUGAGAGGAAUUUGAGAAGUAAAGAGAGUGGGGGAAUUGGGGAAGGGCUUGGUCAUGUAUUCUGGAUAGAGAGCAGAGAAAAC